Triticum aestivum (bread wheat) is the source of this 673-nucleotide long non-coding RNA. RefSeq lists it as uncharacterized. Lineage: Eukaryota; Viridiplantae; Streptophyta; Magnoliopsida; Poales; Poaceae. The transcript is spliced from 2 exons. The record is from RefSeq and is a predicted model, not a curated record.
CCCCCUUGACCAAAGAACCGCUCUCACGCGUAUAUAUAUAUACUACGAACACCAUCAUAGAACACACAAAGCAUCCAUCAACCAAAAAGACAACACCGUCUAGAAGAAGAGGAUUAAUUAGCUAGCCAGUCAUUCGCCGCGGCACAUGCCAGGAACAACACAGUUUCUGUGCUUGGUCGUAGCUCUUCUGGUCUCCCUGUCAUGCAAUGCCAAGCACACGGAUCCUGACACGUACCGUGAAUCUAUGUGGGAAUCCAAGAGACAGGUGCAUGAUUUUGGUGGGCACAACUGCCAAAACACUUGCGUAAGAAAAAGCAUAGAUACUGACAUAUACUGUGAAUAUAUGUGGGAAUGCAACAAACCGGUGCAUGAUCAUGACCAGCGCAAGUGCCGAAACUUUUGCGUAAGCAUGGGCUACGACUACCUCAGGAGCUAUUGUGAGCACCACCCCUACCCGUACUGCUGUUGCCAUAAGUAAUCUGAAUUCGAUGACUUUGGGGUGAUAUCUGGAUGAUGAUGCUUGUCAUGUGCUACUUAUAAAGCUAUAGUUGUUUGUGUAUGUGUGUGUGUUGAUGUCAUCCCAUUGUAAUAACCAAAGCAGUUCAUCAUGAUUGUCCGUGGAAUAAGAUGAUUUCCCUGCAAAAAAGAAAGAAUAAAGAUGAGUAGUUUAAAU